RNAcentral lists this ribosomal RNA (927 nucleotides) under uncultured bacterium. RNAcentral's name for it is "bacterial SSU rRNA". It matches the Rfam family "Bacterial small subunit ribosomal RNA", at positions 56 to 981 of the family's 1533-position model. The record is from RNAcentral.
UGCAGUCGAAGGAGAAGGGUUGUGCUUGCACAACCUGGAGACUGGCGCACGGGUGAGUAACGCGUAGACAACCUGCCUAUAGCUGGGGGAUAACCACCGGAAACGGUGGCUAAUACCGCAUAAUGCAGCGGGGCCGCAUGGCCACAGUUGUUAAAGAUUUAUUGGCUAUAGAUGGGUCUGCGUGCCAUUAGUUAGUUGGUAGGGUAACGGCCUACCAAGGCGAUGAUGGCUAGGGGGUCUGAGAGGAUGAUCCCCCACACUGGGACUGAGACACGGCCCAGACUCCUACGGGAGGCAGCAGUGAGGAAUCUUGCGCAAUGGGCGAAAGCCUGACGCAGCCACGCCGCGUGCCGGAAGACGGCCCUAUGGGUUGUAAACGGCUUUUGGUUGGGAAGAACAGUUCCGUUUCGACGGGAUUUGACGGUACCAAUUGAAUCAGCACCGGCUAACUCCGUGCCAGCAGCCGCGGUAAUACGGAGGGUGCAAGCGUUGUCCGGAAUCAUUGGGUGUAAAGGGUGCGCAGGCUGGCAUUUAAGUCUGGGGUGAAAUCUUGCCGCUUAACGGUAAAAUGGCCCUGGAUACUGGAUGUCUUGAAUCUGACAGAGGUCGGUGGAAUUCGUAGUGUAGCGGUGAAAUGCAUAGAUAUUACGAAGAACAUCAGUGGCGAAGGCGGCCGGCUGGGUCAGUAUUGACGCUGAGGCACGAGAGCGUGGGGAGCGAACAGGAUUAGAUACCCUGGUAGUCCACGCUGUAAACGAUGUAUGCUAGUUGUUUGGCCUAUGGGUUCAGUGACGCAGUUAACGCAGUAAGCAUACCACCUGGGGAGUACGUUCGCAAGAAUGAAACUCAAAGGAAUUGACGGGGGCCCGCACAAGCGGUGGAGCAUGUGGCUUAAUUCGAUGCACCGCGAAGAACCCUUACCGGGCU